This is a long non-coding RNA of Esox lucius (northern pike), 381 nucleotides long. The record is from Ensembl. NCBI's taxonomy places the organism in Eukaryota, Metazoa, Chordata, Actinopteri, Esociformes, Esocidae.
CCUGUCACUGGCACAGGCGGUUGUCCCCACGUGCUUCAAGUCCGCAACCGUUGUGCCAGUGCCGAAGCAGUCGACUGCAUCUAGCCUGAAUGACCACGAUAAUGAAGUGCUUCGAAAGACUAGUUCUGGCCAACCUUAAGUCCUACCUCCCCCAACACUGGAUCCCUACCAGUUUGCCUACCAGUCAAACAGGUCUACAGAGGCCAUCACAACAGCUUUACACUCUGCCCUGACCCACCUGGACAAAACCAACAUCUAUGUCAUGUGUGGAUCAUUGUUAUUGUCAGUUCGUCUAUUGGCUGAUCAACAAACUCCAUGACCUGGGGAUCAGCCACUCUCUCUGCAACUGUACUUUGGACUUCCAAACCAAGAGACGCCAGG